Molecule: non-coding RNA, 455 nt
Organism: Rattus norvegicus (Norway rat)
Lineage: Eukaryota; Metazoa; Chordata; Mammalia; Rodentia; Muridae
Source: RefSeq, a predicted model, not a curated record
GAGAGAGAGAGAGAGAGAGAGAGAGGUAGAGGCUGACCAUGAGCAUGUGGAGAGGGGGAUAAGGCGAUGGGGAGAGGGGGGAAGGCGAUAGGGGAGAGAGAGGAGCAAGAAGGCAAGGGCAAGAGCAAGAGAGUGAGGAGGGGGCAAGCAGUACCUUUCAUAGUGAGUCAGGCAUACCCAUCUGUUGUCAGAAAACUGUGAGUCAGAGCUUAGACCAAAUGCUAACAGUAAGCAACUUCCCAGGGUGGCUGGCUCAUGAAUUUCCAGAAAUGUUCCUGUUUCCAUCUUCCAUCCCAUCUUAAGAGCAGAUUGUGCUACCAUCCCAGAAUUUCCUUGGAUGUGGUGAUUCAAGCUCCGGGCUUCAUACUGUGCAAGAACUUUACUCACUGAACCAUCCUCCUAGGCCCCAAUAUAUCCUUGAUGAUGAAAUGCUACCCUGUUAGCAUAGAACAGCA